UCUGAGGCCAUAUCACCCUGAAUGUGCCCCAUCUCGUCUGGUAUGGAAAGCUAAGCAGGGUCGGGCCUGGUUAGGCCUUGGAUGGGAGGCAGCUCUUCAGAG
Molecule: ribosomal RNA, 102 nt
Filed under: Castor canadensis (American beaver)
Lineage: Eukaryota; Metazoa; Chordata; Mammalia; Rodentia; Castoridae
Source: RNAcentral